This is a long non-coding RNA of Sinocyclocheilus rhinocerous, 197 nucleotides long. RefSeq lists it as uncharacterized. The record is from RefSeq and is a predicted model, not a curated record. The transcript is spliced from 2 exons. NCBI's taxonomy places the organism in Eukaryota, Metazoa, Chordata, Actinopteri, Cypriniformes, Cyprinidae.
GCUAUGGCCUGCUGGUUAGUGCGUGUUUUCCAACACGUGUCAAGAUGAGCGGCUGUUGCAAGUGAGCAGUGAGGAAGGAGACAGAAGCGGAUGAAGCUUUAAAGGAUAGCCUGUGUGGACCCCAGCUUGCCAAACGUAGGGGCUCGUGGACUGUUCCCUGCUCCUCCACACUUCUGGGAGGAGGUGCCUUCAAAAAA